This is a long non-coding RNA of Gallus gallus (chicken), 3908 nucleotides long. The record is from Ensembl. Lineage: Eukaryota; Metazoa; Chordata; Aves; Galliformes; Phasianidae.
AAUUACUAUAAAUAUAUAUGUAUAUCAAAAUGAAUUAACUACGUUAUGUAAUCAUAAUGAUAUUUAGUGCUUAAUUUACAGCUUGUAAAUCAAAUCGUAUUUCCUGACUCUCAAAAAGGCUACCGUUGUAUACUGGUGGCAAAGAUGGAAAAGCAACUCGGAAAAGAUUAGGCUUCAACUGGUUCACAGAGUAAGACAUGCCAGGCCUGAUUCACUGUUGUUACCUUAUGUUGGAAUAACUUCAUUAAUUUAAAUGGGAUUACCAGUAGUCAGCUGUGGAAAUGUUUUUCUUUCUUCUGUUAAAAAACAAAACAACAGAUUUAACUGAAGAAAGAGUUUUCUGAAGAUAAGGACUCACCGGUGUUCUAUGAUGUCAAGUUGAUAAGCAUGUUUAAAGAAGGGCAGUGCCAGUCUUAUUUUAGCUACAAAGAUAAUUUUACUACCAUGGGUAGUCCCACUGACCUCAGUUUGAUAAAUUCUGCCCCAGUUCCAAAUCUGAGUUUUUAAAGGCUUUUUUUUUGGAAGAGUUCCCUUAGAGAAAUAAAAUCAUACUUACCUGAAGCCUUUAAAAAAACAUCAUCACAGAGUAAUUUAAGUCUUGAUUUUCAUUUAUUAUUUCAUUUUCUAUUAUGCCAGUCAUUGCUUUUACAGACAUCAAUGUGACAUCUGUGAAAGGAGCCUCUCACAUUUAAAUUUAUUACUGAGGAGAUAUGAGUCUUUUAUUUGUUAAUGGAGUUUCAAAAUUGCUCAUAACUAGACCAGACUAUAAAUGUUCGCUUUUAAAUUCUCCUUUGCACAUUUAUUCAUUCUUGGUAGGUAGUGUGUACGCAAAGCAGUGUGUUACAUGCACGCAACCUGAAUAUAUUUCAUGGAAAUUAAUUUCCAGAUUUAUCAUACUACUGGAAAUAUAUUUUCAAAUAAUAUAUAAUUACAAUAUAAAAACAUUUAUUAAUCAGAUCUAUUUUUUAUAUGAAUAAGAAUUUGGGUAACCAGAAAGAAAAGAAGAAGGGAUUUAAGUGAGAAUAUUAUUAAAAACAUUGUAAAUCCAGGAUUUUUUGGGGGUUUAUAUGGUUUGCGUUUUUUGUUUUGCUGGUGCAAUAUGACACUUCUAUAAUAGUUGUUCUGAUCACAUUUACAUUUACUCCAUUUUGGAAACAUUUGAUUUCCUCUUGUUAUGUUUCUAACCCUACUCCUCCAUUUUAUUCAGCACAAAGGAAAGUGCUACUAUUAUGGCUGUUUAUCUUUUUGUUCAUUUAAAAACGAGAACAAACAAACAUGGUGUUUUUCAAAUGUGAGCUUGAUUCUGUGCAAGCCACAAGUAUACAUGUGAAAUUCAAGUAACUUUCUUUAUUGCAGGGAAUACUUUCUUCGGGUGAAAAUUACUUCAUUUAGUUAACCUGCAUAACAUAGUGUGCAGUUACUGAUUAAAUUUAACAAAUUCAAGUAAAUCUAGAAAGCUGUUUUUGAAAAUCUCGCCAACAUUGCAUGGUGUUUCAUGCCUAAAACUACUGACUGAAAGUUCAUGAAAUAAAGACUGCAUGAUAUGCAAGCCCCCUAAAAAUUGAUUAAAAUGUGGACAUAAGGAAAUAGUUCCAAGCUUGUUAUUUACAAGUGAUAUCCACGUGCAGGCUUUUCUAACAAACCUGGUAGUCAUGCAUCUAGAACAAAUCCAUCUGUACUGUUAUCACUACCUGUGUACAAGUUAAGUCUUCAGAAGAUAGCUUUAGUGAGGGCCUUUGUCUGCUGGGCAGGAAAACUGGGUUAGCAUCUCUUGGUCAACAAGGGUCCUACCCUAUUGUCCAUCAUGUGCCAACCACAGUGCUUCCCAAGUUGACUGACAAACAGCUUAGAUGUUUGUGCAACCAAAUAGGGCAGUCAUCAGUCUAACAUGGAAACUCAAGCCAUCCCCACCUGAUGGAAACUCAGAGCCCUGAGAGCUAUGAGGGGGAAAUUUUUCUCACCUAACUUUGGAGGUGUGCACUUGAGCUAGUCAUCUGAGGUUCCAUUUUAAUCAAUGAGGAGAACAGGGCCCUCGUAGUAUUCACAUAGUGAUGAAUGUCAUCUGACAGAUGUAAUCAUUAACUUUUGGUUGAGAGGAAAUGUGCCAGACCAGCGCUUGAGACAAAAUGACUAACUCAAAUUAUAGAAGCAUAGAAUCAUAGGAUCACAGAAUGGCUUGUGUUGGAAGGGACCUUAAGGUUCGUAAAACUCCAACCCCCUUGCCACAGGCAGGGCCACCAACCUCCAUAUCUAAUACUGGAUCCAGGCAUCUGUUCUUAAUCCUGUGCACUGAUUGUAUCUAGUCAUUGUGCUGAACCUCUGAAAAAGAGAGGAUCCCAUGUGUAAUGCUGGUGUUGAAAUUAAAUGAGUAACAGCAUAAUGUCUGUUCAACAAAAGCUUAGGUGCACGCUAUGCUUUAAUACAUUAGCAUCAGGCUAUCCUACAAUUGCAAAUAGUACACUCAGCAAGUAAUUCAAGUAACUUAAUUGCUCUGGACAAAGCAUUCUGUGUCAGAAGAUGGUUUAUUCUGACACAGGAUUCAGACUGUAUCGCUUUGAAUUUUUGAAAUUUAAGACUCGCUAUCCAUUUUCCAUUUUUAUAGAUACGCUGAGCCUAAUCCAGAGCUCCAUUAAGUUAUUUUUCAAUGCAGAUUCGUAGAGGGUCCAAACAUGGGUCAUAAGUAACAUGCAGAUGCCCUUUAUUCAGAUGUGGUAGAGAUUAUGUGAAACAGCUGAGACUGCGAAGGCGCCUAUAAGAGGGUAUUUACCACAGCAAUUUGCAUGUUAGAGUGACCCUAUGGGACUAUGUCAGCCACCAAAAUAAGGCAGCAUGUAAUGUAGUUUAACAUGCAGUGAAGGCCAGUUACUGCACUUCAGGUAAUGGCAUUGCAAACGGAAGCAUGUUUUCAGUUAUUGUAACUCAGCUGAUUGUAUGGUUCUGCAAGACUCAUCCUGGCAGCUGAGAAUUUCUCUUGUGAACACACAAUACCUGUAACUACCCCUUCACAGGCUCAUUCUAUCUUGGCAUAUGUACUGCACAGAUUGGGAAGGAGGGCUCACUUCUAAUCUAGUCUAAUACAUCUUUUGUAGUAAUGAAAGAAUAUUAAUAAAAAGGCUUUGGUCUAUUGUAUCUUCUAGGAAAAGUAUUAAAAAUUGAGAUACUUAAUUUAUCAUGGCAUUUGUGCAUAGUUGAAGAGUAGUGUAUUCUGUUAAACAGAUUUCUUUUGGAAUGCCCUUGCUCCCUAACUGUAAUUGAUCUUUCCUGAGUAAAUUGCAAAGAUAAUAUUUUUUUCCUUUAUUAACAUUUUUUUUUCUUUAAGUAUUUUUUUUUCUUAAAGAGUAAGAGAGAGAUCUGUUAGGUUGGGCUAACACCAAGUACUACAGUCAUCUUGAAAUCUCUCAGAGAGACAAAUGAAUCAGUACUGAAAAAGGAAAAAAAAAUCUAAAAAGAUUAGAAUAAGGUGAAAGAAAAAAGCUAUCCAUAUUGUGCCAAAGAGUUCUAACAAAAACAAAAGAAACGGCACAAAAACAGUUCCAUGUAUUUAGAGUCCACAAAUAUCUUCUACCAUCAUAUACUGUGCACUGCUCAUUUGUGAAUGCUAUGGUUGUAUAUAGAUCCUCAGAUUAUGGAGUAGGAGAUACUGAGUACAUAACGGAUAUAAAAAAUAUGUGGAUGUGUAUAUAAAGAAUUGUAAAUAUGAUGUAUAUCAUAAUGCCUGAGAUUUUUCAAGCGUACAUAAAUGAAUUACCUGGCUCUCAAUAAUGGUAAUAGGGUUGAUCUUCUCCACUGGCACUUAAAAUCUUAAGCUUCCCAAGCUUCCUUGGUUUGUUGUCUGGAAAUGGAUGACAGCCUCUCUCUUCCUCCCUUCACAGGCAGAAAAAAAAAAGAAAAAGAAAAAGAAAAAAAAG